This 490-nucleotide ribosomal RNA is filed under the name uncultured bacterium. RNAcentral's name for it is "bacterial SSU rRNA". It matches the Rfam family "Bacterial small subunit ribosomal RNA", at positions 34 to 507 of the family's 1533-position model. The record is from RNAcentral.
CGUUAGCGGCGCGCCUAACACAUGCAAGUCGCACGAGAAAGGGAGCAAUCCCCGGUACAGUGGCGCGCGGGUGAGUAACACGUAGAUGACCUUCCUGGAGUGUGGAUAACCUGCCGAAAGGCGGCUAAUACAGCAUGGGACCACAUGGUUUUGACCGAGUGGUGAAAGCGGGCCUCUGUUCACAAGCUCGCGCUCUGGGAUGGGUCUGCGUCCCAUCAGCUAGUUGGUGAGGUAAUGGCUCACCAAGGCAUCGACGGGUAGCUGGUCUGAGAGGAUGACCAGCCACACUGGAACUGAGACACGGUCCAGACUCCUACGGGAGGCAGCAGUGGGGAAUCUUGCGCAAUGGGCGAAAGCCUGACGCAGCGACGCCGCGUGGGUGAUGAAGGCCUUCGGGUUGUAAAGCCCUGUGGGGAGGAACGAACCGUACGGGGGCGAACACCCUCCGUACCUGACGGUACCUCCUUAGCAAGCGUCGGCUAACUCUGUG